Molecule: transfer RNA, 72 nt
Filed under: Leptotrombidium deliense
Lineage: Eukaryota; Metazoa; Arthropoda; Arachnida; Trombidiformes; Trombiculidae
Description: tRNA-Gln for anticodon UUG
Rfam family: tRNA
About the family: Transfer RNA (tRNA) molecules are approximately 80 nucleotides in length. Their secondary structure includes four short double-helical elements and three loops (D, anti-codon, and T loops).
Source: Rfam by way of RNAcentral
GGGUCUAUGGUGUAACGUUUAGCACACAGGACUUUGAAUCCUGCGAUCUGAGUUCGAUUCUCAGUAGAUCCU